AUGCAACGCGAAAACCUUACCACCUUUGACAUGUACGGAAUCCUUUAGAGAUAGAGGAGUGCUCGAAAGAGAGCCGUAACACAGGUGCUGCAUGGCUGUCGUCAGCUCGUGUCGUGAGAUGUUGGGUUAAGUCCCGCAACGAGCGCAACCCUUGUCAUUAGUUGCUACGAAAGGGCACUCUAAUGAGACUGCCGGUGACAAACCGGAGGAAGGUGGGGAUGACGUCAAGUCCUCAUGGCCCUUAUAGGUGGGGCUACACACGUCAUACAAUGGCUGGUACAAAGGGUUGCCAACCCGCGAGGGGGAGCCAAUCCCAUAAAGCCAGUCGUAGUCCGGAUCGCAGUCUGCAACUCGACUGCGUGAAGUCGGAAUCGCUAGUAAUCGUGGAUCAGCAUGUCACGGUGAAUACGUUCCCGGGUCUU
RNAcentral lists this ribosomal RNA (422 nucleotides) under uncultured Comamonas sp. RNAcentral's name for it is "bacterial SSU rRNA". It matches the Rfam family "Bacterial small subunit ribosomal RNA", at positions 954 to 1382 of the family's 1533-position model. The record is from RNAcentral. Lineage: Bacteria; Pseudomonadati; Pseudomonadota; Betaproteobacteria; Burkholderiales; Comamonadaceae.